This 308-nucleotide ribosomal RNA is filed under the name uncultured bacterium. RNAcentral describes it as "partial 16S ribosomal RNA". It matches the Rfam family "Bacterial small subunit ribosomal RNA", at positions 505 to 807 of the family's 1533-position model. The record is from RNAcentral.
GAGACAGCAGCCGCCACGGUAAUACGGAGGGUGCAAGCGUUAAUCGGAAUUACUGGGCGUAAAGCGCACGCAGGCGGUCUGACAAGUCAGAUGUGAAAUCCCCGGGCUUAACCUGGGAACUGCAUUUGAAACUGUCAGGCUGGAGUCUUGUAGAGGGGGGUGGAAUUCCAGGUGUAGCGGUGAAAUGCGUAGAGAUCUGGAGGAAUACCGGUGGCGAAGGCGGCCCCCUGGACAAAGACUGACGCUCAGGUGCGAAAGCGUGGGGAGCAAACAGGAUUAGAUACCCCGGUAGUCCCUGUCUCUUAUAC